This 98-nucleotide transfer RNA is filed under the name Isoptericola dokdonensis DS-3. Its description in RNAcentral is "tRNA-Gly". The record is from RNAcentral. Lineage: Bacteria; Bacillati; Actinomycetota; Actinomycetes; Micrococcales; Promicromonosporaceae.
UGGUCGCCGUCGAUCAUGCGGUAGGUCCGGCCCUCCCCGGGCUGGACGUGGACGCUCUCCAUGGCUCCUCCUGUGCUCGGUACCACCGAGCGUGCGAC